UGCCUGAGUUAAUCGGAUUUUCCCCUGACAAGACCUGGACCGGACCUGGACAAAGAGCCCUGGAUAACCCCCUCUCGGACGCCUUCGUCAUAAGGAGUCAGAGUUCUGCCCUCAGCACGUCCAGGAGCGGCCAGUCGCAGAGUGCGAGCCGAGCCAGGGGACCGCGCCGCCAGCGUCAAAAUAAAGACUGAUAAUAUUUCGUACUCACUUGUUUUCGGGUAUUUCUUGGGUCCUCCUAAAUUCAUCACA
Molecule: long non-coding RNA, 249 nt
Organism: Fundulus heteroclitus (mummichog)
Lineage: Eukaryota; Metazoa; Chordata; Actinopteri; Cyprinodontiformes; Fundulidae
Exons: 2
Source: RefSeq, a predicted model, not a curated record